UACGUAGGGUGCAAGCGUUGUCCGGAAUUAUUGGGCGUAAAGGGCUCGUGGGCGGUUUGUCGCGUCGGGAGUGAAAACUCAGGGCUUAACCCUGAGCCUGCUUCCGAUACGGGCAGACUAGAGGUAUGCAGGGGAGAAUGGAAUUCCUGGUGUAGCGGUGAAAUGCGCAGAUAUCAGGAGGAACACCGGUGGCGAAGGCGGUUCUCUGGGCAUUACCUGACGCUGAGGAGCGAAAGUGUGGGGAGCGAACAGG
Molecule: ribosomal RNA, 253 nt
Filed under: uncultured bacterium
Lineage: Bacteria
Description: partial 16S ribosomal RNA
Rfam family: Bacterial small subunit ribosomal RNA
Source: RNAcentral